Molecule: non-coding RNA, 105 nt
Organism: Knufia fluminis
Lineage: Eukaryota; Fungi; Ascomycota; Eurotiomycetes; Chaetothyriales; Trichomeriaceae
Source: the annotation of a GenBank genome assembly
GUCUGGAUGGUGUAGUUGGUUAUCACGUCGGUCUCAUAGUUCACCUAUGAAUCUAGCAUAGCUAGAGAUAUCCGAAGGCCGCGAGUUCGAGUCUCGCUCUGGACA